GAUGAACGCUGGCGGCGUGCCUAAUACAUGCAAGUCGAGCGAACAGACGAGGAGCUUGCUCCUCUGACGUUAGCGGCGGACGGGUGAGUAACACGUGGAUAACCUACCUAUAAGACUGGGAUAACUUCGGGAAACCGGAGCUAAUACCGGAUAAUAUAUUGAACCGCAUGGUUCAAUAGUGAAAGACGGUUUUGCUUUCACUUAUAGAUGGCUCCGCGCCGCAUUAGCUAGUUGGUAAGGUAACGGCUUACCAAGGCAACGAUGCGUAGCCGACCUGAGAGGGUGAUCGGCCACACUGGAACGGAGACACGGUCCAGACUCCUACGGGAGGCAGCAGUAGGGAAUCUUCCGCAAUGGGCGAAAGCCGUACGGAGCAACGCCGCGUGAGUGAUGAAGGUCUUCGGAUCGUAAAACUCUGUUAUUAGGGAAGAACAAAUGUGUAAGUAACUAUGCACGACUUGACGGUACCUAAUCAGAAAGCCACGGCUAACUACGUG
Molecule: ribosomal RNA, 497 nt
Filed under: uncultured bacterium
Lineage: Bacteria
Description: partial 16S ribosomal RNA
Rfam family: Bacterial small subunit ribosomal RNA
Source: RNAcentral